GACGUAGGGCGCGAGCGUUGUCCGGAUUUAUUGGGCGUAAAGAGCUCGUAGGCGGCUUGUUGCGUCGACCGUGAAAACCCGUGGCUCAACUGCGGGCUUGCGGUCGAUAGGGCGGGCUAGAGUUCGGUAGGGGAGACUGGAAUUCCUGGUGUAGCGGUGAAAUGCGCAGAUAUCAGGAGGAACACCGGUGGCGAAGGCGGCUCACUGGACCGGUAUUGACGCUGAGGUGCGAAAGCGUGGGGAGCAAACAGG
Molecule: ribosomal RNA, 252 nt
Filed under: uncultured bacterium
Lineage: Bacteria
Description: partial 16S ribosomal RNA
Rfam family: Bacterial small subunit ribosomal RNA
Source: RNAcentral